Molecule: small nuclear RNA, 108 nt
Organism: Nannospalax galili (Upper Galilee mountains blind mole rat)
Lineage: Eukaryota; Metazoa; Chordata; Mammalia; Rodentia; Spalacidae
Source: Ensembl
GUGCUUGCUUCAGCAGCACAUAUGCUAAAAAUUGGAACAAUAUAGUGAAGAUUAGCAUGGCCCCUGCACAAGGAUAACAUGCAAAUUCGUGAAGCAUUCUGUAUUUCA